RNAcentral lists this long non-coding RNA (736 nucleotides) under Nicotiana tabacum (common tobacco). Its description in RNAcentral is "long non-coding RNA (NTAB_LNC011099)". Lineage: Eukaryota; Viridiplantae; Streptophyta; Magnoliopsida; Solanales; Solanaceae. The record is from RNAcentral.
CCGGGAAGAUUGAUAUUAAGCAACCAUGAUUUUAACACAUCAGGCCUAACCACAUAACAUUCAUACAAUAACAAAUAAUUCAAACCUGGCCUAAAUGUUACUGCAAAUAUAACCCAAAACAAUUCUUUCACUUAUAGCCACUUUCAAAUAGAACCGAUAACUUAAACAUGAGAAUCUAAACGCUUAAAGCUUCAAUCUCAUGCUAUGACAUCUUUUCAUGAUCCAUGUACUAAUCAGAACAUUUCUAGAGCUAAAUAUUACAGCUAUACAUGAGAUUGAAAAGAGAAGAAGUAAGAUUAAACAACGAAUAACAUCAGCCCUUCAUAUUUCCAAGUCCAAACUUCAUAUUACAACUAAGUGAAGUCCAUGGUUCCAAAAAUACCUGGAAAAUACCGAAAGAAAAGUCAAGAGAAUGAGGGAGCAGCAAACAGCAGUAACCCAGCAACAGGAAACAAAACAAGCAAAACCAGCUCAAAGCAAGCAAUGGAAGAGUGAUUCCCAGCAAACCAAAACCCAACUUCAAACUAGAUUCAAACCAUUUCUCAACCCCAACAAUAUGAUUAUAGAAUUCUUCAAGAGUUCUAACUAAUAGGAGAAUUAGAAAUCCAAAAACAAAGCAGAAUUUUAUCAAUUUUUUCAACGAAGAACUACCAGGAUUUUCAGUGUUUUUCAGAGUUUUCUAUAGAUUCCAGCCGUUUCAAUUUUCAUUAUUGUUUUGGUCUCUAAAAGGUCUCUC